GUGCACCAGGCGCGAAAACUUCACACUGUGCGAAAGCACGAUGAGGGAAUCCCAAGUGCUUGCACGUAAGUGUAAGCUGCUUCUCUGUCUAAAACGCAGAGAGAGUAAGGGCUGGGUAAGACGGGUGCCAGCCGCCGCGGUAAUACCUGCAGCUCAAGUGGUGACCGUUAUUAUUGGGCCUAAAACGUCCGUAGCCGGCUUAAUAAAUGCCUGGGUAAAUUGUGUAGCUUAACUAUACGAAUUCCGGGUAGACUGUUAAACUUGAGACCGGGAGAAGUUAGAGGUACUCCUGGGGUAGAGGUGAAAUUCUGUAAUCCUAGGGGACCACCAGUGGCGAAGGCGUCUAACUAGAACGGGUCUGACGGUGAGGGACGAAGCCCUGGGGCGCAAACGGGAUUAGAUACCCGCGUAGU
Molecule: ribosomal RNA, 413 nt
Filed under: uncultured microorganism
Description: bacterial SSU rRNA
Rfam family: Archaeal small subunit ribosomal RNA
Source: RNAcentral